This 285-nucleotide unclassified non-coding RNA is filed under the name air metagenome. RNAcentral's name for it is "partial contains small subunit ribosomal RNA, internal transcribed spacer 1, and 5.8S ribosomal RNA". The stretch from base 1 to 46 matches the Rfam family "Eukaryotic small subunit ribosomal RNA", at positions 1786 to 1831 of the family's 1831-position model. The record is from RNAcentral.
AAGUCGUAACAAGGUUUCCGUAGGUGAACCUGCGGAAGGAUCAUUAUCGAAUUAAGUGGGAGGGGGGGUUGAUGCUGGCAGUUUGUCUGUAUGUGCUCGCUCUCUCUCUCUCUUUAAUCCACUUUCACCACAUGUGCACCUUGAUUUCUUUUUUCUGAAGGGCUGGCUUGCCAGCCUUUUUUUCUGAAGAUCUCUCUCUCUAUAAACUCUUAUUUGAUGUAACCGAAUGUCUAUCCGAAAGGAAAGAAUUAAUAACAACUUUUAACAACGGAUCUCUUGGCUCUC